Molecule: long non-coding RNA, 1026 nt
Organism: Xiphias gladius (swordfish)
Lineage: Eukaryota; Metazoa; Chordata; Actinopteri; Istiophoriformes; Xiphiidae
Exons: 3
Source: RefSeq, a predicted model, not a curated record
GAGAGAAGAGGACCUCGGCCCUCGGCCCUCGUCGACGGACUUGUCAAGAAGCAAUUUCAGCCCUGGUCAUCAUUUCACAGAAGCUAUAGGCGCAGAAGGAGAGCUACAAACAACGCGUGAAGCUGGCUAUAGGCGCAGAAGGAGAGCUACAAACGGAUUGCCAACUUCUAAAUGAUGGUGAGGGGAAGAGUGCGCAGAGAGGCAGACAUAUCACAGUCAGACAGACAGAGUUGGAUGGAGACCGCUGAUACACUGGCAGCAGGUUUUCUUCAAGUGGACGGACAAAUAUCUGGCUCAAAGGUCAACACUUUUUCUGUCUGAAAUAGAUAUGCAUCAACAACCAUGUAAUAGUGUCCUUGACCGAGACAGUGAGUAGCUUAGGUUGUGAUGGAAAAGAGAGGGAAAGGGAGAAAGAGGAACGGAGAGAGUCGCCUAUGAGAUGAAAGAAGCACCCCUAAGCAGACGCAGAUUAGCUUUGCUCUAUUGAGGAGGCAAGGGGCAGAACACAAGGUCUUACUGGAUGCCACUAAGCCUUUCAAGACCACCCUUCAGCCUGGGAUGUACACCUCCCCCGUCCCAUCCCAUUUAUCCAGUAACUGACACACACCGUUUACAUACACAUUAGCCCAGGGAGACCUUACUGGCCGAACAUUCAGGCUCAAAGCCAGGUCAUGAUCUGUUCACCCAGAAGUCAUUAGUCAUUUUAUAGCUUUGAUGCAGUUUUUAUUCACAUUCAUUGAUAAAGUGCAAUGAUAGGUUUUAUACCAGAGUACUCUGUGCGUCAUCAAACGUUUUACCCCUUUGUAGGUAAAGGCCUCAGGAUAGCUAAUAGCUUCAUUAAUAUUUAAUACAGAGUUCUUCUGUUAUGACAGCUGUUUAGUGUUGGACAAUUUAAGCUGAAAUAAUUAUAAAAAUAGAAUUUAUGAAAACUAGGAAAUAAAAAAAAAUGGGAAAGAAAUAAGCUAAUAUUUUGUUUCUGUCGUACUUUAAAAGAGGAAGCUAGAAUAUGUUUUGCUAUAUGUUUGG